This 75-nucleotide transfer RNA is filed under the name Parageobacillus caldoxylosilyticus. RNAcentral's name for it is "tRNA-Ala". It matches the Rfam family "tRNA". Rfam says of the family: Transfer RNA (tRNA) molecules are approximately 80 nucleotides in length. The record is from RNAcentral. Lineage: Bacteria; Bacillati; Bacillota; Bacilli; Caryophanales; Anoxybacillaceae.
GGGNCUUAGCUCAGCUGGGAGAGCGCCUGCUUUGCACGCAGGAGGUCAUCGGUUCGAUCCCGAUAGGCUCCACCA